AGUCCAUGGUGUGGGCACUUCCUUAGCAUAGUCUUGAAACGUUCUCACGCCUUGUACAAGGACUCACCUUCAUGGUGUUUAAUGUUGGCGAUUUCUCGCCUACGGAAU
Non-coding RNA from Gossypium hirsutum (cotton), 108 nucleotides. The record is from Rfam. NCBI's taxonomy places the organism in Eukaryota, Viridiplantae, Streptophyta, Magnoliopsida, Malvales, Malvaceae.